AUUGAACGCUGGCGGCAGGCCUAACACAUGCAAGUCGAACGGUAACAGGAAGCAGCUUGCUGCUUCGCUGACGAGUGGCGGACGGGUGAGUAAUGUCUGGGAAGCUGCCUGAUGGAGGGGGAUAACUACUGGAAACGGUAGCUAAUACUGCAUAAUGUCGCAAGACCAAAGAGGGGGACCUUCGGGCCUCUUGCCAUCGGAUGUGCCCAGAUGGGAUUAGCUUGUUGGUGGGGUAACGGCUCACCAAGGCGACGAUCCCUAGCUGGUCUGAGAGGAUGACCAGCCACACUGGAACUGAGACACGGUCCAGACUCCUACGGGAGGCAGCAGUGGGGAAUAUUGCACAAUGGGCGCAAGCCUGAUGCAGCCAUGCCGCGUGUAUGAAGAAGGCCUUCGGGUUGUAAAGUACUUUCAGCGGGGAGGAAGGGAGUAAAGUUAAUACCUUUGCUCAUUGACGUUACCCGCAGAAGAAGCACCGGCUAACUCCGUGC
This 491-nucleotide ribosomal RNA is filed under the name uncultured bacterium. RNAcentral's name for it is "partial 16S ribosomal RNA". It matches the Rfam family "Bacterial small subunit ribosomal RNA", at positions 30 to 508 of the family's 1533-position model. The record is from RNAcentral.